CAGAAAGGGAAAGGAGAGGAGUAAAGAGGAAAAGAGAACAGUGGUGGGUGCCUAUAAAGAGCCACACACCUUGCUGCAUGCUCUAUAUGUGGGCUAUUGUUUGUUCUCACAAUGAAUCUGAGUAGUAGAUAUAGCAUGCCCAUUUUCCAGGUAAUUGCUGAAGGAUUUUUGCUUCAAACAGGCUCUUGUUUGCAUCAAGUGUGGGGUGCAGCAAAGUGGACUCGGGACUGGCCGAUGUCUGGCCAGAAAUGCCAGGCAAGGGAAACAGUGACUCUCGUGGGGUCAGGAGAGGGGCAUCUGCUGGCCCAGGAGCGCAAGGCAGAGGAACUUCAUUGUCCCCCUUAUAGGUGAGGCGACUCUGAGGCAGGAGGUCCAAGUUUGCUGGACAAUGGCAGAAACAGAAUUCAAAAACACCUGUCUUCUAGGAGAAGUUCUGGUCUCUCCUCGGUGCUGUGGCUGCCCCAGG
Molecule: long non-coding RNA, 466 nt
Filed under: Pan troglodytes (chimpanzee)
Lineage: Eukaryota; Metazoa; Chordata; Mammalia; Primates; Hominidae
Description: lincRNA
Source: RNAcentral